This is a long non-coding RNA of Paramisgurnus dabryanus, 741 nucleotides long. RefSeq lists it as uncharacterized. Lineage: Eukaryota; Metazoa; Chordata; Actinopteri; Cypriniformes; Cobitidae. The record is from RefSeq and is a predicted model, not a curated record.
CGAGACCAUACAAGCGGAUCGUUACAGAACGUCCAGUCCUUGGAAAGCUGCAUUAUCAGAAUAAUUGUGCAAAACUGUGUUAAUUGUGUCUGAACUCCAGUAUGUGGUUUAUUCAACUCUUAUUCUUGUAUGGAUCAAGGACUUCCUAAAAGACAGACCUCAACAUGUUAAAAUCUUUAGAUUUAAGUUUAACAGUAGUGUUAGUAGGGUUACACGGGGUUGUGUUCUAUCAUCCAUUUUAUUUUCCAUAUAUAUACAAAUGAGAUUAAGUGUGAUGUCAAUUGUACACUGAAAAAUUUGCUGUAAUUAUGCAGCUGGUUGCCAGUAACUUGAAAAUGUUUCAUGUUCAUUUAACUUUUUAACAAACUGUUGCCAGUAAAUAACAUAAAUGUAAAAUCUACAGUAAGUUACUGGCAGCUAGUUGCCACACUGUAAAAGAAUUGCUGUAAUUAUGGAGCUGGUUGCCAGUAACUUACUGUAGAAGAUAAAGAUUGAAAAUGUUUCAUGUUCAUUAAACAAACUGUUGCUAGUAAAUAACAUACAUGGAAAAUCUACAGUAAAUUACUGGGAGCUAGUUGCCACACUGUAAAAAAAUUGCUGUAAUUAUGCAGCUGGUUGCCAGUAACUUACUGUAGAAGAUAAAGAUUGAAAAUGUUUCAUGUUCAUUAAACAAACUGUUGCUAGUAAAUAACAUACAUGUAAAAUCUACAGUAAGUUACUGGCAGCUAGUUGCCAGUAAUA